RNAcentral lists this ribosomal RNA (543 nucleotides) under Bos taurus (domestic cattle). Its description in RNAcentral is "partial small subunit ribosomal RNA". It matches the Rfam family "Bacterial small subunit ribosomal RNA", at positions 607 to 1371 of the family's 1533-position model. The record is from RNAcentral. Lineage: Eukaryota; Metazoa; Chordata; Mammalia; Artiodactyla; Bovidae.
GGAGUACGGCGUAAAACGUGUUAAAGCACCAUACCAAAUAGGGUUAAAUUCUAACUAAGCUGUAAAAAGCCAUGAUUAAAAUAAAAAUAAAUGACGAAAGUGACCCUACAAUAGCCGACGCACUAUAGCUAAGACCCAAACUGGGAUUAGAUACCCCACUAUGCUUAGCCCUAAACACAGAUAAUUACAUAAACAAAAUUAUUCGCCAGAGUACUACUAGCAACAGCUUAAAACUCAAAGGACUUGGCGGUGCUUUAUAUCCUUCUAGAGGAGCCUGUUCUAUAAUCGAUAAACCCCGAUAAACCUCACCAAUUCUUGCUAAUACAGUCUAUAUACCGCCAUCUUCAGCAAACCCUAAAAAGGAAAAAAAGUAAGCGUAAUUAUGAUACAUAAAAACGUUAGGUCAAGGUGUAACCUAUGAAAUGGGAAGAAAUGGGCUACAUUCUCUACACCAAGAGAAUCAAGCACGAAAGUUAUUAUGAAACCAAUAACCAAAGGAGGAUUUAGCAGUAAACUAAGAAUAGAGUGCUUAGUUGAAUUAGG